Molecule: ribosomal RNA, 468 nt
Filed under: uncultured bacterium
Lineage: Bacteria
Description: partial 16S ribosomal RNA
Rfam family: Bacterial small subunit ribosomal RNA
Source: RNAcentral
GACGAACGCUGGCGGCGUGCUUAACACAUGCAAGUCGAACGGAAAGGCCCUGCUUUUGUGGGGUGCUCGAGUGGCGAACGGGUGAGUAACACGUGAGUAACCUGCCCUUGACUUUGGGAUAACUUCAGGAAACUGGGGCUAAUACCGGAUAGGAGCUCCUGCUGCAUGGUGGGGGUUGGAAAGUUUCGGCGGUUGGGGAUGGACUCGCGGCUUAUCAGCUUGUUGGUGGGGUAGUGGCUUACCAAGGCUUUGACGGGUAGCCGGCCUGAGAGGGUGACCGGCCACAUUGGGACUGAGAUACGGCCCAGACUCCUACGGGAGGCAGCAGUGGGGAAUAUUGCACAAUGGGCGGAAGGCUGAUGCAGCAACGCCGGGGGCGGGAUGAAGGCCUUCGGGGUGUAAACCGCUUUCGCCUGUGACGAAGCGUGAGUGACGGUAAUGGGUAAAGAAGCACCGGCUAACUACGUG